GACGAACGCUGGCGGCGUGCUUAACACAUGCCAGUCGAACGGAAAGGCCCUGCUUUUGUGGGGUGCUCGAGUGGCGAACGGGUGAGUAACACGUGAGUAACCUGCCCUUGACUUUGGGAUAACUUCAGGAAACUGGGGCUAAUACCGGAUCGGAGCUCCUGCUGCAUGGUGGGGGUUGGAAAGUUUCGGCGGUUGGGGAUGGACUCGCGGCUUAUCAGCUUGUUGGUGGGGUAGUGGCUUACCAAGGCUUUGACGGGUAGCCGGCCUGAGAGGGUGACCGGCGACAUUGGGACUGAGAUACGGCCCAGACUCCUACGGGAGGCAGCAGUGGGGAAUAUUGCACAAUGGGCGGAAGCCUGAUGCAGCAACGCCGCGUGCGGGAUGACGGCCUUCGGGUUGUAAACCGCUUUCGCCUGUGACGAAGCGUGAGUGACGGUAAUGGGUAAAGAAGCACCGGCUAACUACGUG
This 468-nucleotide ribosomal RNA is filed under the name uncultured bacterium. RNAcentral describes it as "partial 16S ribosomal RNA". It matches the Rfam family "Bacterial small subunit ribosomal RNA", at positions 28 to 507 of the family's 1533-position model. The record is from RNAcentral.